RNAcentral lists this ribosomal RNA (435 nucleotides) under uncultured bacterium. RNAcentral describes it as "partial 16S ribosomal RNA". It matches the Rfam family "Bacterial small subunit ribosomal RNA", at positions 29 to 507 of the family's 1533-position model. The record is from RNAcentral.
AGCGAACGCUGGCGGCAGGCUUAACACAUGCAAGUCGAGCGGGCAUCUUCGGAUGUCAGCGGCAGACGGGUGAGUAACACGUGGGAACGUACCCUUCGGUUCGGAACAACUCUGGGAAACUGGAGCUAAUACCGGAUACGCCCUUAUGGGGAAAGGUUUACUGCCGAAGGAUCGGCCCGCGUCUGAUUAGCUAGUUGGUGGUGUAACGGCCUACCAAGGCGACGAUCAGUAGCUGGUCUGAGAGGAUGAUCAGCCACACUGGGACUGAGACACGGCCCAGACUCCUACGGGAGGCAGGAGUGGGGAAUAGUGGAAAAUGGGCGCAAGCAUGAUCCAGCCAGGCCGCGUGAGUGAUGAAGGCCUUAGGGUUGUAAAGCUCUUUUGUCCGGGACGAUAAUGACGGUACCGGAAGAAUAAGCCCCGGCUAACUUCGUG